GACGAACGCUGGCGGCGUGCUUAACACAUGCAAGUCGAACGGAAAGGCCCUGCUUUUGUGGGGUGCUCGAGUGGCGAACGGGUGAGUAACACGUGAGUAACCUGCCCUUGACUUUGGGAUAACUUUAGGAAACUGGGGCUAAUACCGGAUAGGAGCUCCUGCUGCAUGUUGGGGGUUGGAAAGUUUCGGCGGUUGGGGAUGGACUCGCGGCUUAUCAGCUUGUUUGUGGGGUAGUGGCUUACCAAGGCUUUGACGGGUAGCCGGCCUGAGAGGGUGACCGGCCACAUUGGGCCUGAGAUACGGCCCAGACUCCUAUGGUAGGCAGCAGUGGAGAAUAUUGCACAAUGGGCGGAAGCCUGAUGAAGCAACGCCGCGUGCGGGAUGACGGCCUUCGGGUUGUAAACCGCUUUCGCCUGUGACGAAGCGUGAGUGACGGUAAUGGGUAAAGAAGCACCGGCUAACUACGUG
Molecule: ribosomal RNA, 468 nt
Filed under: uncultured bacterium
Lineage: Bacteria
Description: partial 16S ribosomal RNA
Rfam family: Bacterial small subunit ribosomal RNA
Source: RNAcentral